RNAcentral lists this ribosomal RNA (750 nucleotides) under uncultured bacterium. Its description in RNAcentral is "bacterial SSU rRNA". It matches the Rfam family "Bacterial small subunit ribosomal RNA", at positions 47 to 788 of the family's 1533-position model. The record is from RNAcentral.
AAACAAAUCAUGCAAGUCGAACGAGAAGACCUUCGGGUCUCUAGUGGCGAACGGGUGAGUAACACGUAGGGAACCUGCCCGCGCACCGGGAAUACGCUCUGGAAACGGAGAACAAAUCCCGAUGUACAGGAAGGAGGCAUCUUCUUUCUGUGAAACAUCCUCUAGGGGAUGGGGCGCGGAUGGACCUGCGGUGCAUUAGUUGGUUGGCGGGGUAAAGGCCCACCAAGACGAUGAUGCAUAGCCGGCCUGUGAGGGCGGACGGCCACAUUGGGACUGAGACGCGGCCCAGACUCCUGCGGGAGGCAGCAGUAGGGAAUUUUCGUCAAUGGGCGCAAGCCUGAACGAGCGAUGCCGCGUGAGUGAAGAAGGCCUUCGGGUCGUAAAGCUCUGUUGCGGGGGAAAAAAGGCAGCAUCAGGAAAUGGGUGCUGACUGAUGGUGCCCCGCCAGAAAGUCACGGCUAACUACGUGCCAGCAGCCGCGGUAAUACGUAGGUGGCGAGCGUUAUCCGGAAUGAUUGGGCGUAAAGGGUGCGCAGGCGGUCCUGCAAGUCUGGAGUGAAACGCAUGAGCUCAACUCAUGCAUGGCUUUGGAAACUGGAGGACUGGAGAGCAGGAGAGGGCGGUGGAACUCCAUGUGUAGCGGUAAAAUGCGUAGAUAUAUGGAAGAACACCAGUGGCGAAGGCGGCCGCCUGGCCUGUUGCUGGCGCUGAGGCACGAAAGCGUGGGGAGCAAAUAGGAUUAGAUACCCU